This 659-nucleotide ribosomal RNA is filed under the name uncultured archaeon. RNAcentral's name for it is "bacterial SSU rRNA". It matches the Rfam family "Archaeal small subunit ribosomal RNA", at positions 203 to 864 of the family's 1478-position model. The record is from RNAcentral.
CCCUGGAUUGGACUGCGGCCGAUCAGGCUGUUGGUGAGGUAAUGGCCCACCAAACCUGUAACCGGUACGGGCUCUGAGAGGAGGAGCCCGGAGAUGGGCACUGAGACAAGGGCCCAGGCCCUAUGGGGCGCAGCAGGCGCGAAACCUCUGCAAUAGGCGAAAGCUUGACAGGGUUACUCUGAGUGAUUUCCGUUAAGGAGAUCUUUUGGCACCUCUAAAAAUGGUGCAGAAUAAGGGGUGGGCAAGUCUGGCGUCAGCCGCCGCGGUAAUACCAGCACCCCGAGUGGUCGGGACGUUUAUUGGGCCUAAAGCAUCCGUAGCCGGUUCUACAAGUCUUCCGUUAAAUCCACCUGCUCAACAGAUGGGCUGCGGAAGAUACUAUGGAGCUAGGAGGCGGGAGAGGCAAGCGGUACUCGAUGGGUAGGGGUAAAAUCCGUUGAUCCAUUGAAGACCACCAGUGGCGAAGGCGGCUUGCCAGAACGCGCUCGACGGUGAGGGAUGAAAGCUGGGGGAGCAAACCGGAUUAGAUACCCGGGUAGUCCCAGCUGUAAACGAUGCAGACUCGGUGAUGAGUUGGCUUUAUGCCAACUCAGUGCCGCAGGGAAGCCGUUAAGUUUGCCGCCUGGGGAGUACGGUCGCAAGACUGAAACUUAAAGGAA